GGCUGGUCCAACUGCUGCACUGGUAUUUACAACUAACUGAUCACAACCAGUUACAGAUUUCUUUGUUCCUUCUCCACUCCCACUGCUUCACUUGACUUAAA
This 101-nucleotide Y RNA is filed under the name Homo sapiens (human). RNAcentral's name for it is "Y RNA (ENSG00000201498.1)". It matches the Rfam family "Y RNA". From Rfam's summary of the family: Y RNAs are components of the Ro ribonucleoprotein particle (Ro RNP), in association with Ro60 and La proteins. The record is from Rfam by way of RNAcentral. Lineage: Eukaryota; Metazoa; Chordata; Mammalia; Primates; Hominidae.